GAGUUUGAUCCUGGCUCAGAUUGAACGCUGGCGGCAUGCCUAACACAUGCAAGUCGAACGGUAACAGGCCGCAAGGUGCUGACGAGUGGCGGACGGGUGAGUAAUACGUAGGUAUCUGCCCUGUAGUGGGGGAUAACCCGGGGAAACCCGGGCUAAUACCGCAUACGCUCUUUUAUCGUUGAGAUAGGAGAGGAAAGCGAGGGACCGAAAGGCCUCGCGCUAGAGGAUGAGCCUACGUCCGAUUAGCUAGUUGGUAGGGUAAAGGCCUACCAAGGCGACGAUCGGUAGCUGGUCUGAGAGGAUGGCCAGCCACACUGGGACUGAGACACGGCCCAGACUCCUACGGGAGGCAGCAGUGGGGAAUAUUGGACAAUGGGGGAAACCCUGAUCCAGCGAUGCCGCGUGGGUGAAGAAGGCCUGCGGGUUGUAAAGCCCUUUCAGUGGGGAAGAAAAACGGAGUGUGAACAGCGCUUCGUCUUGACGUUACCCACAGAAGAAGCACCGGCUAACUCCGUGCCAGCAGCCGCGGUAAUACGGAGGGUGCGAGCGUUAAUCGGAAUCACUGGGCGUAAAGAGCGCGUAGGCGGUUAGGUAAGUCGGAUGUGAAAGCCCUGGGCUUAACCUGGGAAUGGCAUUCGAGACUGUCUAUCUAGAGUCUGGUAGAGGGAAGCGGAAUUUCCGGUGUAGCGGUGAAAUGUGUAGAUAUCGGAAGGAACACCAGUGGCGAANGCGACUUCCCGGACCAAGACUGACGCUNANGCGCGAAAGCGUGGGGAUCAAACAGGAUUANAUACCCUGGUAGUCCACNCCNUAAACGAUGANACUGGCNNUNGGGGGGUUAAUCNUUGAGUGGCUCANCUANCNNAUAANUUUNCCCNUGGGAGUACGGCCCCANGUUAAACUCAAGGANUNACGGGGGCCCCCCAACCGUGAACAUNUGUUUAUNCAUGCACNNAAAACUNUCUGGCUUGAAUNNNGAACUGGAAAUUNGGUGCUNNGAACCCAAANNGNCUCUGUUUCUCNCCUUCNGNAUUGUUAUCCCACAGNCACUUUUUUUC
RNAcentral lists this ribosomal RNA (1058 nucleotides) under uncultured bacterium. Its description in RNAcentral is "partial 16S ribosomal RNA". It matches the Rfam family "Bacterial small subunit ribosomal RNA", at positions 9 to 1178 of the family's 1533-position model. The record is from RNAcentral.